RNAcentral lists this long non-coding RNA (5581 nucleotides) under Lactuca sativa (garden lettuce). RNAcentral describes it as "long non-coding RNA (LSAT_LNC005598)". Lineage: Eukaryota; Viridiplantae; Streptophyta; Magnoliopsida; Asterales; Asteraceae. The record is from RNAcentral.
UUUUUUCUUGAUUUGAAGAUUAUUUAACAUAUUUUUUCGAUCUGAAAACGUUCUUGAGAGAAUUCAAUAAUUAGUUCAGUGAAAAAUUUCGCUCCAAGUUAUUUCAUGUCUUAUAUAUCGAUGACCACUAAAAUAAGUUCAAAAUUCUAAAAGACAUAACAUUUUCGGGCUAGGUUACUUAGUUUGUAAUAUUUAAAGCAUACAGUAGCUUUCAUAUAUACAUAAAAAGAAAAUCUUAAUUUUCAUAAAUAACCCUCCAAACUAUUUGAAGGUCGAAUCAAACUCAAGAAUCAUUUGAGUAGUAUACACGUUAUUGCAAAUUAAUGAAAGCAAAUAAAAUUUACAGAAGUCUUACAAAAAAACAUAUUAUCGAUGUUUAAUCUAAAAAAGGAUAACAUCAUAACCUUAAUUUUAGUCUUUUUUCUAAUUUAUCUUCAAAUUCCAUCGAAUCAUAUUUAACAAAUAAUAAAACAUUUCACUUAAACUCAAAAGAAAUCAAACGAGUUCGUAUAUUUUGAAAAUGAAGAAUAACGUUACUUUCUUAAAAUGGCAUAUGAUGUUCAAAGCAUACACACAAUAUAAUAUAUCAAACACCAUGUAACGAGUAAAAGAAAAUUUUAUUUCCAUUUAUUAGAUUGUUUUAUACAUUCUUUUCACCCUUCAAGAAUUUGAAAAAAAUAUGAUCUUCCCUUCAACGUGUCGUUCGAUUNAUAUAUGUAUCAUAAUUACUUCUGAGUUAUGCAUGGACCAAUAACUCAGACACUAACCUAACCAGGGCCUUUGCUGACAUGGGGUGUUUAAAAUUAGCAUAGGUUUUAUAUUUUGUGGAUUUGGUAAAACUAUCAAAUGUAACACCACUAAGUACCAUCAACAUAUCAAAGUGUUGGUGAUCAGGUUUUAUUAUUAUUCAUUACGAUGUUUACGCCUAUUUGCAUUCGUUUAUUUGUUUACUGUUUAUAUGUAUGUUUAUGUUAAUAUAUGUUCACUUAUUUUUAUUUGUCUUCAAUUGUUUAUGAUUCUUUAACUUAGUUUGAUUAAAAAACAUAAACGAAAGAAGAUGAACACAAUCAUUUAUGUUAGUUUAAAAACAAGUUGUUAGGAUCCGACUUAUAUAUGUCAUGUGGGUAUUGGCCAAUUCAAGAAAAUGUUUAAGAUCCCAUUUAUUAUAAACCAAAGGGCAUGUCAUAAGUGCAUUAGACCAAUAGUCGAGCCAAAAUUAGUGUCAUACUACAAAUAUUGCCACUUAUUUUCCCACCCAGAUAAUUGGAACAAGUUGGACCAGAAACUUAUUCUCGAAUAAAUACGCUACUUACCCUCAUAACUAAAAAUAGUUGUAUGAAGAAAAUCGUGUGAUUAGAACUAUUCUAUUUCAUAUUGAGCCAAAUUUAGUUUGAAUGGGUUACGAGGUGCAUAAAUCCUACACUCUUUAGAUGAUUUCAAGUCUAAGGGCAGUGUCCUUCUUGGGUCCCUAGGGCAUUUCCCUGGCUCAUAAAAGCAUGUAUUUCUGUGAAUUAUGCGCUUCUAGAACAUAGAAUAAUAUAUACAUAUGUUUAGUGCAAUCCAAAACUAAUAGAGUCAAAAUUACAUAUUUCAGAGAAAGUAUCAGAAAUCCCAAUUUUUUUUUUUAUAUUUGUUACCUGUUUUUUUAAUUAAUUAAACCACAUACAUGACAUCAACACAAAAACAAGUAUAGUGACCUACACCUAAGUACAAUACAAAAAUUAUGAGCCAAGAAAAUUACAUAAAGAAAAACUAAUAAAACCGAUAAUCACCGACCAAAACUGCAUCAUGUCAAGUUAGCAGUAAUAUUUACGGCUAAAUAUUAUGGUUCUCAUCAAAGUGUCUUUAAUCUAUACCCUUCAAAGGAAGUAUACUCACGAUUCCCAAUGCGAGUUUCAAUCAAAAGCCAACUUGGUACAUAAUUCGUAAUUUGGGAUCCAAGGAUUUACACUAGCAUUUCACCCAAAAUCUUAUGGUUCACGACAACCAUUCACUAAAUUUGGAUAUAGAAAAUUUAUAAUAUAAAGUCCUUACUUCCAAACAUCAUAAUGCUUAGAAAAAGUAUUGAACACAUGAUUGUGAAAUACGCUUAAAAUUUUGAACAUAUUAAUAGGAAAUUCAUAUAGUGAAAAUGAUUUCCUACACGAAUUUUAUACAUAAACGAAAGAAGAUGAACAUAAUCAUUUAUGUUAGUUUAAAAACAAGUUGUUAGGAUCCGACUUAUAUAUGUCAUGUGGGUAUUGGCCAAUUCAAGAAAAUGUUUAAGAUCCCAUUUAUUAUAAACCAAAGGGCAUGUCAUAAGUGCAUUAGACCAAUAGUCGAGCCAAAAUUAGUGUCAUACUACAAAUAUUGCCACUUAUUUUCCCACCCAGAUAAUUGGAACAAGUUGGACCAGAAACUUAUUCUCGAAUAAAUACGCUACUUACCCUCAUAACUAAAAAUAGUUGUAUGAAGAAAAUCGUGUGAUUAGAACUAUUCUAUUUCAUAUUGAGCCAAAUUUAGUUUGAAUGGGUUACGAGGUGCAUAAAUCCUACACUCUUUAGAUGAUUUCAAGUCUAAGGGCAGUGUCCUUCUUGGGUCCCUAGGGCAUUUCCCUGGCUCAUAAAAGCAUGUAUUUCUGUGAAUUAUGCGCUUCUAGAACAUAGAAUAAUAUAUACAUAUGUUUAGUGCAAUCCAAAACUAAUAGAGUCAAAAUUACAUAUUUCAGAGAAAGUAUCAGAAAUCCCAAUUUUUUUUUUUAUAUUUGUUACCUGUUUUUUUAAUUAAUUAAACCACAUACAUGACAUCAACACAAAAACAAGUAUAGUGACCUACACCUAAGUACAAUACAAAAAUUAUGAGCCAAGAAAAUUACAUAAAGAAAAACUAAUAAAACCGAUAAUCACCGACCAAAACUGCAUCAUGUCAAGUUAGCAGUAAUAUUUACGGCUAAAUAUUAUGGUUCUCAUCAAAGUGUCUUUAAUCUAUACCCUUCAAAGGAAGUAUACUCACGAUUCCCAAUGCGAGUUUCAAUCAAAAGCCAACUCGGUACAUAAUUCGUAAUUUGGGAUCNGGUAAAACUAUCAAAUGUAACACCACUAAGUACCAUCAACAUAUCAAAGUGUUGGUGAUCAGGUUUUAUUAUUAUUCAUUACGAUGUUUACGCCUAUUUGCAUUCGUUUAUUUGUUUACUGUUUAUAUGUAUGUUUAUGUUAAUAUAUGUUCACUUAUUUUUAUUUGUCUUCAAUUGUUUAUGAUUCUUUAACUUAGUUUGAUUAAAAAACAUAAACGAAAGAAGAUGAACACAAUCAUUUAUGUUAGAUUAAAAACAAGUUGUUAGGAUCCGACUUAUAUAUGUCAUGUGGGUAUUGGACAAUUCAAGAAAAUGUUUAAGAUCCCAUUUAUUAUAAACCAAAGGGCACGUCAUAAGUGCAUUAGACCAAUAGUCAAGCCAAAAUUAGUGUCAUACUACAAAUAUUGCCACUUAUUUUCCCACCCAGAUAAUUGGAACAAGUUGGACCAGAAACUUAUUCUCGAAUAAAUACGCUACUUACCCUCAUAACUAAAAUUAUUUGUAGGAAGAAAAUCGUGUGAUUAGAACUAUUCUAUUACAUACUGAGCCAAAUUUAGUUUGAAUGGGUUACGAGGUGCAUAAUUCCUACACUCUUUAGAUGAUUUCAAGUCUAAGGGCAGUGUCCUUCUUGGGUCCGUAGGGCAUUUCCCUGGCUCAUAAAAGCAUGGAUUUCUGUGAAUUAUGCGCUUCUAGAACAUAGAAUAAUAUAUACAUAUGUUUAGUGCAAUCCAAAACUAAUAGAGUUAAAAUUACAUAUUUCAGAGAAGUAUCNGAGUUAAAAUUACAUAUUUCAGAGAAAGUAUCAGAAUUCCAAUGUUUUUUUUUUCAUAUUUGUUACCUGUUUUUUAAUUAAUUAAACCACAUACAUGACAUCAACACAAAAACAAGUAUAGUGACCUACACCUAAGUACAAUACAAAAUUUAUGAGUUAAGAAAAUUACAUAAAGAAAAACUAAUAAAACGAAUAAUCACCGACCAAAACUAUAUCAUGUCAAGUUAGCAAUAUUAUUUACGGCUAAAUAUUAUGGUUCUCAUCAAAGUGUCGUUAAUUUAUACCCUUCAAAGGAAGUACACUCACAAUUCCCAAUGCGAGUUUCAAUGAAAAGCCAACUUGGUAUAUAAUUCGUAAUUUGGGAUCCAAGGAUUUACACUACCAUUUCACCCAAAAUCUUAUGGUUCACGACAACCAUUCACUAAAUUGGGAUAUAGAAAAAUUAUAAUAUAAAGUCCUUACUUCCAAACAUCAUAAUGCUUAGAAAAAGUUUUGAACACAUGAUUGUUAAACACCAUUCACUAAAUUGGGAUAUAGAAAAAUUAUAAUAUAAAGUCCUUACUUCCAAACAUCAUAAUGCUUAGAAAAAGUUUUGAACACAUGAUUGUGAAACACGCUUAAAAUUUUGAACCUGUUAAAAGGAAAUUCUUAUGGUGAAAAUGAUUUCCUACAUGGAUUUUAUACAUAAUUGAGCAAUACGAUUUGUUUUCCAUAGAUGGACUUUAUUUAGGGACUAAAAAGAUUGUUUUAUACAUUCUUUUCACCCUUCNCAGAGAGUAAAAGUUUUAUAUGUUUUUUUUUUGUGCAGAUUAUUUAAAAUAUUUUUUCGAACGUUCUUGAGAGAAUUCAAAAAUUGACUUAGUAAAAAAUUUCGCUCCAAAUUAUUUCAUGUGUUAUAUAUCGAUGACCACUAAAACAAGUUCAAAAUUUUAAAAAACAUAACAUUUUCGGGAUAGGUAAUUUAGUUUGUAAUAUUUAAAGGAUACAAUAGCUUUCUUAUAUACAUCAUGAGAAAAUGUUAAUUUUCAUGAAUAACCCUCCCAAGUAUUUGAAGGUCGCCUCAAACUCAAGAAUCAUUUGAGUAGUAUACACAUAAUUGCAAAUUAAUGGAAGCAAAGAAACAUUACAGAAGUCUUACAAAAAAACCAUAUUAUCGAUGUUUAAUCUAAAAAAGGAUAACAUCAUAACCUUAAUUUCAAUCUUUGUUCUAAUUUAUUUUCAAAACCCAUCAAAUCAUAUUUAACCAACAAUAAAACAUUUCAUUUAAACUCAAAAGAAAUCAAAUCUUUUUUUUCUAUAGAUGGACUUAAUUUCAAUCUUUUUUCUAAUUUAUUUUCAAAAUCCAUCAAAUCAUAUAUAACCAACAAUAAAACAUUUCACUUGAACUCAAAAGAAAUCAAACGAUAAGUUUUCCAUACAUGGACUUUAUUUAGGGAUUAAAAAGAUCGAAAACUGUAUAAUAUAAUUAAAAGAAGAGAGAGUAGAAGAUUUAUAUGUUUUUUUUCUUGAUUUGAAGAUUAUUAAACAUAUUUUUUUCGAUCUGAAAACGUUCUUGAGAGAAUUCAAUAAUUAGUUCAGUGAAAAAUUUCGCUCCAAGUUAUUUCAUGUCUUAUAUAUCGAUGACCACUAAAAUAAGUUCAAAAUUCUAAAAGACAUAACAUUUUCGGGUUAGGUUACUUAGUUUGUAAUAUUUAAAGGAUACAGUAGCUUUCUUAUAUACAUAAAAAGAAAAUGUUAAUUUUCAUAAAUAACCCUCC